Molecule: ribosomal RNA, 497 nt
Filed under: uncultured bacterium
Lineage: Bacteria
Description: partial 16S ribosomal RNA
Rfam family: Bacterial small subunit ribosomal RNA
Source: RNAcentral
AUUGAACGCUGGCGGCAUGCCUUACACAUGCAAGUCGAACGGUAACAGGUCUUCGGAUGCUGACGAGUGGCGAACGGGUGAGUAAUACAUCGGAACGUGCCUAGUAGUGGGGAUAACUACUCGAAAGAGUGGCUAAUACCGCAUGAGAUUUACGGAUGAAAGCAGGGGAUCGCAAGACCUUGUGCUACUAGAGCGGCCGAUGGCAGAUUAGGUAGUUGGUGGGAUAAAAGCUUACCAAGCCGACGAUCUGUAGCGGGUCUGAGAGGACGAUCAGCCACACUGGGACUGAGACACGGCCCAGACUCCUACGGGAGGCAGCAGUGGGGAAUUUUGGACAAUGGGCGAAAGCCUGAUCCAGCAAUGCCGCGUGCAGGAUGAAGGCCUUCGGGUUGUAAACUGCUUUUGUACGGAACGAAAAGCCCCGGGUUAAUACCCUGGGGUCAUGACGGUACCGUAAGAAUAAGCACCGGCUAACUACGUGCCAGCCGCCGCAGUAA